Molecule: long non-coding RNA, 1095 nt
Organism: Dermacentor albipictus
Lineage: Eukaryota; Metazoa; Arthropoda; Arachnida; Ixodida; Ixodidae
Source: RefSeq, a predicted model, not a curated record
UAGAACAUAACCCUUCAGUUUGGUGGCCUGCCUGAGUGGUGUCGUGCGUGGUAUGUCGAGUUACAGGGUGUCAUGUGCGUAGUGCGCGACACGGUGCGGUGGUUGGAGAGGACAAGAAGCAGACGACAAGUAGUGCGCGCCGAGGCGAAUUCCGUGCUGGCUGGAUAGAAAACGACAAUGUCGAAGAGCGUCCCGCACGUGAACACGCGGCGCAAAAGAAGAAACUAAAAGAAAAAAUGCAACCCAAUCAGAAGAAACCACGGAGCAUCAAACAGCCAAUGAGCAAACGACGAAUCGGCCAGAGCGGCAGAAAAGCCAGGGGCGCUGGCAGGACGAGAGGAGACGCGGGAAGAGUUCCAGGAAGCGACGCCAGAAGGCCGGCCACCAGAGCGGGCGUUGAAGACGGGCCGUCGUGUACCAGACCCGAGCCACCUGGACUUCGCCCGGCCGGGGCCUCAUGCCAACCCGUUCCUGUGCGACGCCACUCUAUUCGAUCGUUAACCUCUGCCCGAGGUCGGCGACCCCUGCGCCCGCGGGCAGAACGAGAGCAGCCGGGCUACAGGCCCGAGUUCCACGCACAGCUGCCUGGCCAGAACGCAGCAUGCCUUUCCUCUGCAAGCCAGAAUGCCGCGCUCUGGUCGCCCGGUCAACGGUCCGACAUCCCGACCUUUGACGUUCAACGCUUGGUCCUCCGUCUUGCAUACCUACUUUGCGAGGCCUGGGCUUCGAGAGGUAUGGGAUCAGGGCUGGAUCCCCAGCAGCCCGGUACCACCGCCGCUGGCCAGAACGAGUAGUUCGCGGCAGCAUCUUCUCGAAGCUGAUGAGUACUUUGCGAGGCCUGGGCUUCGAGAGGUAUGGGAUCAGGGCUGGAUCCCCAGCAGCCCGGUACCACCGCCGCUGGCCAGAACGAGUCGUUCGCGGCAGCAUCUUCUCGAAGCUGAUAAGUUGGGGCCAGAAGGGCAUACCAUACUGGACGGAGGUCGCAGUGAGGCUGAUUGGGGCCGAACUGUUUGUCAUUAUAUUCAGUCUAUGUGGCCAUUCACCCUCCCGCUGUUCACCAUUAUCUUUGUGUUCAAUAAAGUGACCGAAUCAGUA